Molecule: long non-coding RNA, 488 nt
Organism: Meriones unguiculatus (Mongolian gerbil)
Lineage: Eukaryota; Metazoa; Chordata; Mammalia; Rodentia; Muridae
Exons: 3
Source: RefSeq, a predicted model, not a curated record
AGCAAGGUUCUGUUUAUCCAUAUCUUUAAAAAAUAAGUUUCUGGAAUCGUGCCUUUGACAUAGUUAUUUAUUUACAUUUUUUAAUCUAUGAAUUAUUUCUUCAAAUGACAUCUGUGAGACUGAAACAAGCGAGGAGUCCUGGUUUGAGACAGAUGUUAAAGGCUCUUCAGCUAUUAGCUCUCUGUUACCCCAGAGCACUGCGGAAUACUGUACAAAACGACAGGAGGCCAGCAUGACUAUCUUCUGAGAGGCUUCAUCCUACAGCUGAUGGAAUCAGAUGUAGAGACCCACAGUUAAAUAUUAGGUGGGGCUUGCUGAACCCUGAGGAAGAGGAAGAAGAAGGAUUAAAGGAGCCAGAAAGCUCCUAAAAUUGCUGAAAUCAUGGCCAUGGUGGACCUAGAAGUAAUCACUCAUGUUACCUCGAUUAUCCCUGUUCCCCGCCUACCUCUGUGCCCGGCUUCUUUCCCCAUCCUCUUUCAGAACUUGAA